GUCUAUGGCCAUGCCACCCUGAACAAGCCUGAUCCCAUCUGAUCUCAGAAGCUAAGCAGAGUUGGGUCUGGUUAGUACUUGGAUGGGAGACCACCUAGGAAGACCAGGCGCUGAGGGGU
RNAcentral lists this ribosomal RNA (119 nucleotides) under Pteropus alecto (black flying fox). The record is from RNAcentral. Lineage: Eukaryota; Metazoa; Chordata; Mammalia; Chiroptera; Pteropodidae.